GCCUAAAGCGUCCGUAGCCGGCUUUGUAAGUUUUCGGUUAAAUCUAUAUGCUCAACAUAUAGGCUGCCGGAAAUACUGUAAAGCUAGGGAGUGGGAGAGGUAGACGGUACUCCGUAGGAAGGGGUAAAAUCCUUUGAUCUAUGGAUGACCACCUGUGGCGAAGGCGGUCUACCAGAACACGUCCGACGGUGAGGGAUGAAAGCUGGGGGAGCAAACCGGAUUAGAUACCCGGGUAGUCCCAGCUGUAAACUAUGCAAACUCAGUGAUGCAUUGGCUUGUGGCCAGUGCAGUGCCGCAGAGAAGUCGUUAAGUUUGCCGCCUGGGAAGUACGUACGCAAGUAUGAAACUUAAAGGAAUUGGCGGGGGAGCACCACAAGGGGUGAAGCCUGCGGUUCAAUUGGAGUCAACGCCAGAAAUCUUACCCGGAGAGACAGCAGGAUGAAGGUCAAGCUGAAGACUUUACCAGACAAGCUGAGAAGUGGUGCAUGGCCGUCGCCAGCUCGUGCCGUGAGGUGUCCUGUUAAGUCAGGUAACGAGCGAGAUCCUUGCCUCUAGUUGCCACCAUUACUCUCAGGAGUAGUGGGGCGAAUUAGCGGGACUGCCGUAGUUAAUACGGAGGAAGGAGAGGGCCACGGCAGGUCAGUAUGCCCCGAA
Molecule: ribosomal RNA, 654 nt
Filed under: uncultured archaeon
Lineage: Archaea
Description: bacterial SSU rRNA
Rfam family: Archaeal small subunit ribosomal RNA
Source: RNAcentral